GGACGAACGCUGGCGGCGUGCUUAACACAUGCAAGUUGAACGACGGUCUUUAGAGUGUAGUAAUACAUGAAGGAGAUACGGAGUAGCGGACGGGUGAGUACAACACGAGAAGCUAUCCUUUACAGGGGGACAACGUUUGGAAACGGACGCUAAUACCCCAUAGGCCUGAGGGUUAAAGCAGCGAUGCGAUAGAGGGGGUGCUCGUGCCCUAUCAGCUAGUUGGUGAGGUAACGGCUCACCAAGGCGAUGACGGGUAGCCGGCCUGAGAGGGCGACCGGCCACACUGGAACUGAGAUACGGUCCAGACUCCUACGGGAGGCAGCAGUGGGGAAUAUUGGGCAAUGGGAGAGAUCCUGACCCAGCAACGCCGCGUGAACGAAGAAGGCCCUUGGGUCGUAAAGUUCUUUUGCGCGGGAAGAAGAAAGUGACGGUACCGCGCGAAUAAGCCCCGGCUAACUACGUGCCAGCAGCCGCGGUAAUACGUAGGGGGCGAGCGUUGUCCGGAAUUACUGGGCGUAAAGGGCACGCAGGCUGUGCCGUAAGUCGGCUGUAAAAAGAUGCGGCUUAACCGCGUUGCGCAGUCGAAACUGCGGUGCUAGAGUACCGGAGAGGCAAGUGGAAUUCCCAGUGUAGCGGUGAAAUGCGUAGAUAUUGGGAAGAACAUCGGUGGCGAAGGCGACUUGCUGGUCGGUAACUGACGCUCUUGUGCGAAAGCCAGGGGAGCAAACGGGAUUAGAUACCCCGGUAGUCCUGUCGGUAAACGAUGAAUGCUGGGUGUGCGAGUAGAGAUACUGGUGUGCCGUAGUUAACGCGAUAAGCAUUCCGCCUGGGGAGUACGGUCGCAAGAUUGAAACUCAAAGGAAUUGACGGGGGCCCGCACAAGCGGUGGAGCACGUGGUUUAAUUCGAUGCAAA
Molecule: ribosomal RNA, 914 nt
Filed under: uncultured bacterium
Lineage: Bacteria
Description: bacterial SSU rRNA
Rfam family: Bacterial small subunit ribosomal RNA
Source: RNAcentral